GAGUUUGAUCUUGGCUCAGGACGAACGCUGGCGGCGUGCUUAACACAUGCAAGUCGAGCGAGGCCCUUCCUUCGGGAAGGUGCCCUAGCGGCGAACGGGUGAGUAACACGUGGGCAACCUGCCCCUAGCACUGGGAUAACUCCGGGAAACCGGGGCUAAUACCGGAUAUGACCUUCUUGGGCAUCCUCGAAGGUGUAAAGGAUUCUGGCUAGGGAUGGGCCCGCGGCCUAUCAGCUUGUUGGUGGGGUAACAGCCUACCAAGGCGACGACGGGUAGCCGGCCUGAGAGGGCGACCGGCCACACUGGGACUGAGACACGGCCCAGACUCCUACGGGAGGCAGCAGUGGGGAAUCUUGCACAAUGGGCGAAAGCCUGAUGCAGCGACGCCGCGUGAGGGAUGAAUGCCUUCGGGUUGUAAACCUCUUUCAGCAGGGACGAAGCGAAAGUGACGGUACCUGCAGAAGAAGCACCGGCCAACUACGUGCCAGCCGCCGCAGU
RNAcentral lists this ribosomal RNA (498 nucleotides) under uncultured bacterium. RNAcentral's name for it is "bacterial SSU rRNA". It matches the Rfam family "Bacterial small subunit ribosomal RNA", at positions 9 to 521 of the family's 1533-position model. The record is from RNAcentral.